This 254-nucleotide ribosomal RNA is filed under the name uncultured bacterium. RNAcentral's name for it is "partial 16S ribosomal RNA". It matches the Rfam family "Bacterial small subunit ribosomal RNA", at positions 524 to 776 of the family's 1533-position model. The record is from RNAcentral.
UACGGGGGGAGCAAGCGUUGUUCGGAUUUACUGGGCGUAAAGGGCGCGUAGGCGGCCUGUGCAAGUCAGUUGUGAAAUCUCCGGGCUUAACUCGGAACGGUCAACUGAUACUGCUCGGCUAGAGUGCGGAAGGGGCAACUGGAAUUCUUGGUGUAGCGGUGAAAUGCGUAGAUAUCAAGAGGAACACCUGCGGCGAAGGCGGGUUGCUGGGCCGACACUGACGCUGAAGUGCGAAAGCUAGGGGAGCGAACGGG